RNAcentral lists this transfer RNA (69 nucleotides) under Myrmecophaga tridactyla (giant anteater). RNAcentral's name for it is "tRNA-Gly". Lineage: Eukaryota; Metazoa; Chordata; Mammalia; Pilosa; Myrmecophagidae. The record is from RNAcentral.
GCCCUUUUAGUAAUAAUUAGUACAGCUGACUUCCAAUUAGCAAGCUCCAGACAAACCUGGAAAAGAGCA